GCGGCGAGCGAACGCGGAUUAGCCCAAACCAAUAAAGUUUUCUUUAUUGGGGUUGCGGACAUAUCAUAACGAAGAGGUAUCGUAAUUGAAGAGGUUUGGAAAGAUCCACCACAGAAGGUAAUAGUCCUGUAUGUUAAACGAGAAGACUUUAGAUAUGAUCCAGAGUACCACGGGACACGUGAAACCCUGUGGGAAGCAGGAGGGACC
RNAcentral lists this ribosomal RNA (207 nucleotides) under Clostridioides difficile. Its description in RNAcentral is "partial 23S ribosomal RNA". It matches the Rfam family "Bacterial large subunit ribosomal RNA", at positions 246 to 454 of the family's 2925-position model. The record is from RNAcentral. Lineage: Bacteria; Bacillati; Bacillota; Clostridia; Peptostreptococcales; Peptostreptococcaceae.